CACGUAGGGGCGAGCGUUGUCCGGAAUUACUGGGCGUAAAGGGCGCGCAAGCUGUUAUGCGAGUCUGCUGUGAAAUGUACCGGCUCAACCGGUGCCUUGCGGCGGAUACUGCAUAGCUGGAGUACUGGAGAGGGAAGUGGAAUUCCCUGUGUAGCGGUGAAAUGCGUAGAUAUCGGGAGGAACACCGGUGGCGAAGGCGGCUUUCUGGCCAGUUACUGACGCUCAUGCGCGAAAGCUGGGGUAGCGAACCGGAUUAGAUA
Molecule: ribosomal RNA, 260 nt
Filed under: uncultured prokaryote
Description: partial 16S ribosomal RNA
Rfam family: Bacterial small subunit ribosomal RNA
Source: RNAcentral